UCUUUGCACUCAGAUUUUGGUGUCAUGUUUCCGUAUCCUCGGAAAAAUGAUGAAAAGGGAAUCAGGUGUAAGUCCUGAACAGACCCGCUGCUGUAAGCUCUAUUCAGUAAACAGUUAACAAUGUUUCUGAAAAAAGUCUUCGAACAAUACCAAAUACCACUGAUUGACAGUAAUCAGUCUUCAGUCAACCGUUAUCAAUCUUAUUGUUAACUGUUCACUGUUCACUGUUCACUGAAUGUUGGGAAGGGCGUUCAAAGAUGGAGUAAGUCAGAAGACCUGCCAAGGUUGAUUAGUUUAAA
This 299-nucleotide non-coding RNA is filed under the name uncultured Dysgonomonas sp. The record is from RNAcentral. Lineage: Bacteria; Pseudomonadati; Bacteroidota; Bacteroidia; Bacteroidales; Dysgonomonadaceae.